RNAcentral lists this ribosomal RNA (450 nucleotides) under uncultured bacterium. RNAcentral describes it as "bacterial SSU rRNA". It matches the Rfam family "Bacterial small subunit ribosomal RNA", at positions 355 to 796 of the family's 1533-position model. The record is from RNAcentral.
UCGAGAAUCUUUCGCAAUGGGCGAAAGCCUGACGGAGCGACGCCGUGUGAGCGAAGAAGGCCUUCGGGUUGUAAAGCUCUUUCGCUUGGGAACAAGAAAGGGAAGUGAAUAACUUUCCAAUUUGAGGGUACCAGGUAAAGAAGCACCGGCUAACUACGUGCCAGCAGCUGCGGUAAUACGUAGGGUGCAAGCAUUAAUCGGAAUUAUUGGGCGUAAAGGGCGCGUAGGCGGAUUCGUAAGUCAGAUGUGAAAUUCCAAAGCUCACCUUUGGAGCUGCAUUUGAUACUGCGAAUCUCAGAGGAAUGGCGGAGAAAACGGAAUUCCACAUGUAGCGGUGAAAUGCGUGGAUAUGUGGAGGAACACCGGUGGCGAAAGCGGUUUUCUAGCUUUUUCCUGACGCUGAGGCGCGAGAGCAAGGGGAGCAAACAGGAUUAGAUACCCGCGUAGUCC